AUUUCGCGGAUCUGGUCGCACACCCGGCUUCUCAAUUACAUCGCUGUUCUAACCUUUAUUGCGCCGGCAUCGUCAAAUCGGGUAUCCUUGCGCAAUCCCCGCCAGAGCUCGGCAAUGCUAUUAGCUUGGUAAGAAAUUAACGUCGGUUUUCGAACUUUUGAACUUUGACGCUUGGUUUCGAGAUAACAGUUCACUUUAUUUUAUUUACGUUCUAAUGUUAUCUUACAGUGCGGAUGUCGCGUUGCAUGCUGUUAGGUACGUUUCUGUUUUUACUGUUAAUUUGUGCUCGCUUCAAGUUAUUUACUUCGCAAUGGAUACUAAGCAAGCUCGUGUAAUAUUCUUACACGAAUAUAAACUGGGUCACAAAGCUGCAACUGCGACUCGUAACAUCAACGAUGCAUUUGAAGAAGAUACCGUAAAUGAACGCACGGUGCAGCAUUGGUUCAAGAAAUUUCGAAGUGGAGAUGAGAGCCUCAAAGACGAAGAUGGUGGCGGACGCCCUUCUCUCGUCGACAACGAACAAUCGAAGGCACUGAUUGAAACUGAUCCACGAACAACGAUUCGACAACUUGGACAGGAGUUGGAUUAUUGACUCACCUGAGACAGCUGGGAAAAACGGAUGCCGCAUGAGUUAAGCGUAGACCGAAAAUCGACAUUAUUUUCCUACCAUAAGCUGCGAGCGAAAGGGUGGUCGAUGGGGGUUGUCGAUGAGGUAUACGAGGUUCGCAGAGAAAAGGAGGAUGUAAGGACAGGAGCGAAGAAACAGCAGAGGAGGAAAGAAAAGUGACGGAGGAACGGAAAAGUGGUGGUAAGGGUGGAAUAGUGCGAGUGGGAGGGUUGUUGGGUGGCUUGAGGACGCAAGGAGGAGAGGAGCAUGAUGGGAAGAGCGAUAGAGGUAAGGGCAGGAGCGAAGGAACACCGGUGAGGAAACGGGGGAGGAAAGAAAAGUGACGGAGAAACGGAAAAAGGGGGUGCAAGGGUGUAACCGAGUGAGUGGGAGCGUGUGGCGAGGCUGGAGGGAGCGAGGAGGAGAGAAAAGCAAGGUGGUGCAGCGGAGAAGGCGAUCGAUGCACCGUCCCGGCCAUACGGCGGUGCCUGAGUCAGCCUUUCGCGAGCAUUGGCCGCCUGGCAUUACGGCUGCGCUCGUCGUAGAAAAGCGGCAACCGAGGAGCGGAUUGGGGCUGAAGGAGAAUGGGGAUGAGGGUGGAAGACUGAAUCGUUGCCGCCAAACGCAGCCUCUGCAAGUAAGACGCAACGAGAGCUAUUAUCCACAGAAAUUUCUCAUCACAGAAAUAAAGCACGACGUGAAACUGUUUGCCAACCACUGGAUGUAACGGCUCGGCUUUUAUUUCGUCGAUGAACCCUAGUCCAGCAUCGAUUACCUCAGCGUCGACCUACGCGCGGUAAUAUCGGCUCCACUUCGCUUCGUCGAUUACACGCCAUCGCUCUAAUUAUUAUCCAGUGGAUCGAGUUCUCAUCGAUUCGUUUCACCGUGGAGUGGAGGGUAAUUAAGGUUCAAACGAAUGCGACGAAUCGCGAGAAAUCAAGAUUAAUCGGCAUUGAGAAGUGCACCUAUCACAAAAGAACCCCCGGUUUACAUUUAUUUCGCCAAGGGGUGACCUGUUUUGUGCGCGAUUGUCGGAUGUUAAACAGGAAUGGGAAAAAAUACUUGCUUGGAUGGAAAUUGAUAAUAAAAUAUACGCGACUUUCCAUUCAUCUAUCUCGUUGAGUAAAAAUUAGAAUUUUAUUAUGAUAGUCCCAUUUCAUUAUUCGGAUUAUAUUUGAACGAAUGACAACUUAUCCGAGCAAACGUUGAGUCAAAUAGAAUAUCACUAUAAUAGUUAAAAUAUAAAAAUUAAAAUAAAAUGAAAGUUAUGAGUAGACUGCGAAUUUUAUGCAUCCAAACUAAUGCAAUAAAUUGUACAUGCUAAAUAUAACCAAAAGGUAUGCGUACGUAUUCCAAACGUAAUAAAAAUAUUAUUAUAUUAAUAGUAGAAUAUAUUCAACGUGCAUUACGUAUAUUUUUUGUUGUUUUCCAUGUUACGAAUGGAUUUCCAAUAAAAGCUUCAAAAUUUUGUUUCUCGAUAACAAAGUAUGCCUAUCAACAUUGUCUUCGAAAAAUACAUACAGAUCGAAAAAUAAUGUCAUUUCUUUUACAUUAAAUUCAAACAAAUACAUUCGUUAUCAACAGCCCUUAGUAUUGAGAUUCGCAGAAACGACAUUACUUUCCAGUCCACCUAACAUUAAUUACAUAAAUCCCUUAUAUUCCCUACCAGUUCUAUUUGAUUAAAAAACAAAAUUCCUAAAGCUCCUAUUGGAAAAUCCUUUACAUCGCGAACUAAAGAAAGAAUACACGCAAAUUGUAGCCAAAGUACAAUCUUCAUUCACAAAUAAUCGGUAUAAUUCUCGCUUCUCUGCCGUGACUCCAUUCGUUGAAAUUGAGUUGUACUCAUUUGUACGGCUAUCCUAUCCGUCCGUGUAUCUCGCUUCAGCUUGAUUCGAGCGGCGCAAUUUUUAUCGAGAAUCGAACGGGCGCUCGUAGCGAACCGAUCGUUUCCAUCGACGCCAGUAAAAUCUAGAGGGGCAAAAAUCGAGCGCAGGUGUCUUUGUCUGAUUAACCAGCGUGGCUCGUAAACCACACUAUGGCUAAUUAUCGGCAUUGAGGCGACUAAAGGAGCGGAAGACCGGUUGAUCGAGCUUGUUGGCCGCUCAGAGAAUCAGAAGUUGCUAAGGCCCGUUGCUGGUCUCGCAAACUCAUUAUCCGAGGCUUGUACCCAGCCCAACCCUAUUCCCUAUCCCUUUCUCUGUCCUCCCACCCUCUGUCCUCCUCGCCCCAGCACCUCUCGGCACUAAUUAUAACCGUAAUCGUGGCGUGCAUUAACUCUCCUCGUACAAGUAAUUGUUAACGCGAGAACACGAACCAGAUUGCAUUACCACGCUAGUUUUGCGGCCCUCCAUUGGUAAUUAGAGCUCUACGAUCGAGUUGAAGUCUGUUAUCUUUAUUUCGAGCUGGCCUUUUCACCUGUCCUCUUAAUUCGCGGUAUUAUUAAAGUACGCUCGAGCGGCGUGGUGACUACUCGUUAAUAAACUGAAAUUUUACAUCGAUAAAAGUUUGGGAAUCAUUCCAAGUAAUUAAAUACUCCUGGUUGGGAGCCAAAAGUGAUGCUUGCCGUGCGUGGGAUCGGACAUCCAUUAAUAGACGUAUAGAUUUAUUAGUUAUAUAUGGACUGUUGUAAACGUUAGGUAAGAGGUUGCUCGUU
This is a long non-coding RNA of Hylaeus volcanicus, 3260 nucleotides long. RefSeq lists it as uncharacterized. The record is from RefSeq and is a predicted model, not a curated record. The transcript is spliced from 3 exons. NCBI's taxonomy places the organism in Eukaryota, Metazoa, Arthropoda, Insecta, Hymenoptera, Colletidae.